This 380-nucleotide ribosomal RNA is filed under the name uncultured eukaryote. RNAcentral describes it as "partial 18S ribosomal RNA". It matches the Rfam family "Eukaryotic small subunit ribosomal RNA", at positions 592 to 976 of the family's 1831-position model. The record is from RNAcentral.
CAAUAGCGUAUAUUAAAGUUGUUGCGGUUAAAAAGCUCGUAGUUGGAUUUCUGCUGAGGAUGACCGGUCCGCCCUCUGGGCAGGUAUCUGGCUCAGCCUUGGCAUCUUCCUGAAGAACGCAGCUGCACUUGACUGUGUGGUGCGGUAUUUAGGACAUUUACUUUGAGGAAAUUAGAGUGUUUCAAGCAAGCGCACGCCUUGAAUACAUUAGCAUGGAAUAAUAAGAUAGGACCUCGGUUCUAUUUUGUUGGUUUCUAGAACUGAGGUAAUGAUUGAUAGGGAUAGUUGGGGGCAUUCGUAUUUAACCGUCAGAGGUGAAAUUCUUGGAUUUGUUAAAGACGGACUACUGCGAAAGCAUUUGCCAAGGAUGUUUUCAUUGA